This 359-nucleotide ribosomal RNA is filed under the name Mucor sp. BAB-2296. RNAcentral's name for it is "eukaryotic LSU rRNA". The record is from RNAcentral. Lineage: Eukaryota; Fungi; Mucoromycota; Mucoromycetes; Mucorales; Mucoraceae.
UGAAAAGAGAGUUAAACAGUAUGUGAAAUUGUUAAAAGGGAACCGUUUGGAGCCAGACUGGCUUGAUCGUAAUCAAUCUAGGUUUCGACCUGGAUGCACUUGCGGUCUAUGCCUGCCAACGACAGUUCUUUCUGAAGGAUAAAACUAGGAGGAAUGUGGCCCCUCGGGGUGUUAUAGCCUCUUAGAUAAUACUUUGGAUGGGACUGAGGAACGCAGUGAAUGCUUAUGGCGAAAUUGCUAGGCGCUUUUGUUGAUAGAUGUUAGAAUUUCUACUUCGGGUAGUGCUGAUGUCUAAAGGUAAAACUCGUUUGGUUAAUUUUCUAUUCACUUAGGUUGUUGGCUUAAUGACUCUAAAUGAC